RNAcentral lists this ribosomal RNA (253 nucleotides) under uncultured bacterium. RNAcentral describes it as "partial 16S ribosomal RNA". It matches the Rfam family "Bacterial small subunit ribosomal RNA", at positions 524 to 776 of the family's 1533-position model. The record is from RNAcentral.
UACGUAGGGUGCGAGCGUUGUCCGGAAUUAUUGGGCGUAAAGGGCUCGUAGGCGGUUUGUCGCGUCGGGAGUGAAAACCCAGGGCUUAACUCUGGGCUUGCUUUCGAUACGGGCAGACUAGAGGUAUGCAGGGGAGAACGGAAUUCCUGGUGUAGCGGUGAAAUGCGCAGAUAUCAGGAGGAACACCGGUGGCGAAGGCGGUUCUCUGGGCAUUACCUGACGCUGAGGAGCGAAAGCAUGGGGAGCGAACAGG